CAGUCGCCACGGGAAAACGGAGGGUGCAAGCGUUAUCCGGAUUUAUUGGGUUUAAAGGGUCCGUAGGCGGACUUAUAAGUCAGUGGUGAAAGCCUGUCGCUUAACGAUAGAACUGCCAUUGAUACUGUAAGUCUUGAGUAUAUUUGAGGUAGCUGGAAUAAGUAGUGUAGCGGUGAAAUGCAUAGAUAUUACUUAGAACACCAAUUGCGAAGGCAGGUUACCAAGAUAUAACUGACGCUGAGGGACGAAAGCGUGGGUAGCGAACAGGAUUAGAUACCCCAGUAGUCCCUGUCUCUUAUAC
Molecule: ribosomal RNA, 301 nt
Filed under: uncultured bacterium
Lineage: Bacteria
Description: partial 16S ribosomal RNA
Rfam family: Bacterial small subunit ribosomal RNA
Source: RNAcentral